This is a long non-coding RNA of Lolium perenne, 325 nucleotides long. RefSeq lists it as uncharacterized. Lineage: Eukaryota; Viridiplantae; Streptophyta; Magnoliopsida; Poales; Poaceae. The record is from RefSeq and is a predicted model, not a curated record.
CUCCUGCCUUGUUUUCAGGUAGUGUACACUGGAGAGGAAAAGAAAUCAGGAUGUAAUGUGGAAACAGGAAAAAUCAACGAUAAACACGGAGAGCAGGUGAUCCACGAGGAUGAUGGCACGGAAAAGCCUGCGAGGGGUCCAGCAGCAGCAUGCACAACCAACCGGCUUCCCCGUCCUAAAACCGUACACGCAACGCGCCGCAGUGCAGAUGCUUCAGCUGGACAACAUGGACUCAGACACUUCUCCGGUCCGUAGGGUCGUUCGGAAUAAAAUUGUACACUACCUGAAAACAAGGCAGGAGUUCUGUAACUUGCACAAACAUUAU